RNAcentral lists this ribosomal RNA (367 nucleotides) under uncultured fungus. RNAcentral's name for it is "LSU rRNA". It matches the Rfam family "Eukaryotic large subunit ribosomal RNA", at positions 65 to 424 of the family's 3401-position model. Lineage: Eukaryota; Fungi. The record is from RNAcentral.
CUAACAAGGAUGCCCUCAGUAACGGCGAGUGAAGCGGGCAAAGCUCAUCCUGAAAAUCGAAUUCCUAAGCGGGAUUUCGAAUUGUGGGAUAUAGACGUGUGAUCAGCGUGUAACCCAGGUAUAAAUCUCUUUGAAACGAGGUAUCAUAGAGGGUGAGAAUCCCGUCUGUGACUUGGAGUUUGCCGCGUACGACCUGCGUUCAGAGAGUCGCGUUGUUUGGGAUUGCAGCGCUAAAUGGGUGGUAAAUUUCAUCUAAAGCUAAAUAUCGACGAGAGACCGAUAGCGAACAAGUACCGUGAGGGAAGGAUGAAAAGAACUUUGAAAAGAGAGUUAAAAAGUACUUGAAAUUGCUAAGAGGGAAGCACUG